UCGAGCCUGCUCGCCCCCCUAACCGCUUAGCCUUUUCCCUUCCGCUCUCCCCUGUCCCCCUCCUCCGGCCCAGGCGCCCAGCCGAGCGAGAAAGCGAAGGGGGGAAAAGGGGGGCCGCGCCGCGCCCGGCUUUCCUUGGCACCACCACCACCACCACCACCCCGGAGAAGAUGGAGCUGUUCUGCGAGCUGCUGCUCACGGCGGCGGUCACGCUCCUCGCGGCCUUCCUGCUCGCCACGCUCUUCGCCGCCAAUGAUCCGCCGCGCCGGGCGGCCGAUCGCGCCGCAGCCGCGAUCGCCGAGGAGGCGGUGGAGGAGGAGAGGAUCAUCGAGGUCGACGAGGUGAGGCGUGGCGGAGGGAGGGCGGUGGCGGAGGGGUGGGUCGAGGUGGAGAAGGCGCCGGCGGUGGCCGUCGAGGAGGUGCGGGAGCUGGAGUGCUUGCCCGAGGAGGAGCUUCCCGUGAAGGUCGCUAGGGAGGUGCGCCUUGGUGCUGGAGUAGGGGAGGUGGAGGAGGGCGGUGACGGCGUGAAGCGGCGUGAUUUGACCCCUGCGACGGCGGUGGUUGCUGAGACGAGCCCGCAGGUCUCGGGCGCAGAUGAGGCUGUGCCUAGGGAGGUUAUUGGUGUGGCGGGUUUGGAGGAAGGGAGCGUACAAGAUGUUGAAGUCAAGCCGCAUGAUCUGGGUGCUGAGGUUGCUCCCAUUGAAGUUCUCGGAGCAGGAUCGGAGAGGCAGCGAGUGGGAGUUGCUGAGGCGAGCCCGCAAGUUGUUGAAGUCGCGGAAGUCUUUCCCUUGGAAACAGAGGCUGUUCAAGUGACACAAGACCAUCUGGUUGCCGAAGAUGUUCUUGACGCGGGACUGGCAGGGAAGAGUGCGCAACCUAUCCAAGCGACGCCGGAUGAAUUGGACUCUGAGACUGCUCCCAAAGAGAUUGAAGCAGAGGCUGUUCAAGUGAAACAGCACCAUCUGGCUGCCGAAGUUACUCCUGCCGAAGAUGUUCUUGACGCGGGAUUGGCAGGGAAGAGUGUGCAACCUAUCCAAGCGACGCCGGAUGAAUUGGACUCUGAGACUGCUCCAGAAAAGAUUCUUGACGUGGCAUUAGAGGAGGAAGAGCAAGUAGUUGAAGUGAAGGAACGUGAAUUGCCUGCCGAGGCUGCCACACAACCAGUUCUCGAUGUGCCAUUGGCAGAGAAGGAAGAGCUUAAAGAUCAUCAUCCCGCUGAAGAAUCUUUCAACUUACACGAGGAAGUGCAGAGCAAGAAGGAAGCUAAAUGUGAGGCCCACCGAGUUGAUCAACAAGAAGAACUGGUCCCCAAAGAGGAGCCGGUGGGAAGGAAAACUGAUGUUGUGAAUGUUAGCGCUAAAUGCAGUUCUGGUGAUGAAGUGGCCUUGCCCGUGGAGGCAGUGACAUUGCCAGGGCUGCCGGAAGGACACACUGAAUCAGACAUGGACUUUGAGGAGUGGGAAGGGAUUGAGAGGAGUGAAGUGGAGAAGAGGUUUGGUGCAGCUGCAGCAUUUGCUGCUAGUGGGGCUGGGGCGGCUGCCCUGUCAAAGCUCGAUAGUGAUGUGCAGCUGCAGCUUCAAGGACUCCUCAAGGUUGCCAUUGACGGUCCCUGUUACGACUCUACACAGCCACUUACACUGAGGCCUUCAUCUCGCGCAAAAUGGGUGGCUUGGCAAAAGUUAGGGAACAUGCAUCCUGAGAUUGCUAUGGAGAAAUACAUGAAUCUUUUAUCAGAGACAAUUCCAGGGUGGAUGGGAAAUGAAACAUCGGACGCAAAGAAACAUGACGUAACCAUGACUGCUACCAGUGUUCAACGGAGCAAUCAAGGAACAAGGGCAUAUACAGAUGUUGGUGCAUGACUUUCUGAUGUGGAUUAUGAAGAUAGUACUAGCAUAGAUGAAGGAACUACCCCUAACCCAGAGAAAGGCCAGAGCUCUGAUAUCCCUGCUGAAUGAAUGCAACGCUCAUCGAAUAUUCUUGCAUCAGCGGUUCCAGCCCAUUGCUGGGAUCUCUCUUGAUGCCUUCCUCAUAAGAUUAGAUUUGUACAGUUGUGGUGGUUGUGCUAAUACUAGUGCUAUGAUGAUGUUGGUUCGUGUAUAUAUAUAUGACUGUAUAUAUCUGUAACUGCUGCUGCUGCCGGUAUAUUUGGCCAGUUGCAGACAUGUCAUCGGUUGUAGUCAAUAUUAACGUUACCCUUGGUAACUGGUAAUUAUAUUUGUUACCACGUAGUUUGGAACGAAGAAUUUAAGCGGUUCAGGUAAAGACUCUUAUCUCA
RNA transcript from Panicum virgatum (switchgrass), 2275 nucleotides. It is a transcript of the gene named acyl-CoA-binding domain-containing protein 5-like, with no coding region annotated. The record is from RefSeq and is a predicted model, not a curated record. The transcript has 5 exons. NCBI's taxonomy places the organism in Eukaryota, Viridiplantae, Streptophyta, Magnoliopsida, Poales, Poaceae.